UCCCCUCGGCGCUUGCAAACGAUCACGGCAGCGUCGAACAGGAAGAUGUGUCUGCGGAGGGAAUCAAAGCGACGGCCAAAUGAAAAUCUGUCUCUCAGGAGAUGAUACUUCAACACCCGCUGCAUGGGAACCACAAGCAGGUCUCUCAAGAUGUCGUCCAGGGUGGUGAUGGCCGUCUCCACGUGACUGCAGUAUUUCCCGUAGAUCAACAACCUGCGUCCGGUCAGAGCAGAAGGAUCCAACCGAUCAGUCGACAAAACUUUACACAAAUUUUCAUAGUUUGAUUGUGAUCUUACGAUUGAUAUGAGAUCACAAAAUUAUAAACACUCGUUUUUUUUUCUGUCAAACUAGAAAACAAACACAGUAGGGCUGCAACUAACAAUUAUUUUGGUAAUU
This is a long non-coding RNA of Xiphophorus couchianus (Monterrey platyfish), 396 nucleotides long. RefSeq lists it as uncharacterized. NCBI's taxonomy places the organism in Eukaryota, Metazoa, Chordata, Actinopteri, Cyprinodontiformes, Poeciliidae. The transcript has 3 exons. The record is from RefSeq and is a predicted model, not a curated record.